RNAcentral lists this non-coding RNA (24 nucleotides) under Arabidopsis thaliana (thale cress). Lineage: Eukaryota; Viridiplantae; Streptophyta; Magnoliopsida; Brassicales; Brassicaceae. The record is from RNAcentral.
GGCAGAGGGUCAAGCGUUAUAUGG